Molecule: small RNA, 132 nt
Filed under: Escherichia coli
Lineage: Bacteria; Pseudomonadati; Pseudomonadota; Gammaproteobacteria; Enterobacterales; Enterobacteriaceae
Description: RtT sRNA
Rfam family: RtT RNA
About the family: This family represents a bacterial cis-regulatory element known as RtT RNA. The exact function of RtT is unknown although it is thought that it may be involved in changing the cellular response in relation to amino acid starvation.
Source: RNAcentral
GUUUGCACUCAUCGGGGAAGGGUGAGAACCUUCGACUAAGGUUCGAUUCGAGCGAAAGCGAGAGAACGUUGCCACAGGCAACGGCCCGAAGGGUGAGGAGCGAAGCGACGAAUAAUCUUUCCCCCACCACCA